Molecule: long non-coding RNA, 28125 nt
Filed under: Malus domestica (apple)
Lineage: Eukaryota; Viridiplantae; Streptophyta; Magnoliopsida; Rosales; Rosaceae
Description: long non-coding RNA (MDOM_LNC011876)
Source: RNAcentral
AGCAGGCUUAAAUUCAAGUUCUGUGUGUCAACGGGUGAGAUCACAGAUGGAUUUCUUGAGUUAUUGUAUUAUAAUCCCAUGUCUUUUAUCUCUCUUGUGUUUCUCAGUUCAAGCUCUCAGAUCCAAUCCCAAAAGGCUUCUUCCACCUGGACCAAAGCCAUUUCCCAUCAUUGGCAAUCUCUUGGAGCUCGGCAACAAACCCCAUCUCUCUCUCACUAACCUUUCACAACGAUACGGCCCCAUUAUUUCAUUGCAACUUGGACAAGUAACCACGGUCGUAGUUUCUUCAUCAACCGUGGCAAAGGAGGUCCUCCGAACCCACGACCAGUUCUUGUGCAACCGAACCGUCCCAGACGCAAUCCAAGCUUGCGAUCUCCGCCAGGACAGCUUGCCCUGGAUACCGGUGUCAGAGAAAUGGAGAAACCUCCGUAAAAUAUGCAACAACCAAUUGUUUGCAACAAAAGUUCUAGACGCCAACCAAGCCAACCGUCACCUGAAAGUGCAGGAGCUCAUCGCCGAUGUCAAUGAAAGCGUUGUGAAAGGUAAGGCGGUAGAAAUUGGGAGGGCUGCUUUUAAGACAACGCUUAAUCUGCUGUCGCGUACUGUUUUCUCGGUCGAUUUAGCUGACCCGAGAAGUGAGAUGGGCAGAGAGUUCAAGGAGAUUGUGUGGGGUUUGAUGGAAGAGGCAGGGAAGCCAAACUUGGGGGACUAUUUUCCUCUGCUUAGGAAACUUGACCCCCAAGGCAUUCGACGGCGCAUGAUCAAACAUUUCGUUAAGAUUGAUUCGCUUUUUGAUCGAAUGAUUACGCAAAGGUUAGAAUUGAGAAAAUCGAACUAUUAUGUCACAAGUAAUGAUAUGUUGGAUUCUCUCUUGGACGUCAGUGAAGUGAGCAAUGAGAAUAUGGACAAGCUAUUGAUUGAACAUCUGCUUCUGGUCAGUUUUCUAAUUUCUAACAACUCAUAUUCGAUAUUUUAGGGUGCCUUUGAUAAUCAUUUCGGUUUUUCAGUUAUCAUUCUGUUCAUUAAAAUUUACGAUUCCAUUAUUUAGUCGUUGCAUUGCUGCAAUAUGUGUAUAUAUAGGCUCUAUUUGUUGCGGGCACGGAUACAACUUCAGCCACGUUGGAAUGGGCAAUGGCUGAACUACUACGCAACCCGGAAAAACUGUCCAAAGCACAAGAGGAACUAGAGCAAGUCAUUGGCAAAGGAAAACCAGUUGAGGAAUCGGACAUUGCUCAACUCCCUUACUUACAAGCAAUAAUCAAAGAGACCUUCCGGUUGCAUCCGGCUACUCCAUUACUACUCCCUCGAAAAGCCGAACAAGACAUGGAAAUUUGCGGGUACGUUGUCCCAAAGGGUGCACAAGUGCUGGUCAAUGCAUGGGCUAUAGGCAGAGACCCUUGCAUUUGGGACAACCCGAUCUCAUUUGUACCGGAGAGGUUUUUGGGAUUAGAUGAUCAAAUCGAUGUUUUAGGCAAGAAUUUUGAGCUCGUUCCGUUUGGUGGCGGGCGGAGAAUAUGUCCAGGGAUGCUAUUGGCAAUACGGAUGCUAAACUUGAUGUUGGGUUCACUUAUUAACUCAUUUGAUUGGAAGCUUGAAGAUGGAGUUAUACCAGAGAACAUGAACAUGGAGGAGAAGUUUGGCCUCACCUUACAGAUGGCUCAUCCUCUAAGGCUUGUGCCAAAAGUCCUAAUUAAUUUGAAAUGGUAAUUUUAUUAACUUUUAAUUAGUAAUUUUACAUUUAUGUGGUUGUUUUUAGUUUAAAAGAUGCAGCAAGGCAUAUGUAAAAUAACUCAAAUGUACUUCAUUUUGCCAAUGGAAGCUUUCUUUUCUUCUUCUUUGAGGUACACUUUACUAUUAGUAGGAGAGAUUCAGACUUGAAAUAUCUUUAAAAAAUAUUAAAAAAAAUAAUACCAAUAAUAGUAUUUUAUUAGCCACCUAUUAUUUGGUGUGAUAAUAUUUCCGUCAUUGCUCUGGCGCACAAUCCAGUUUUUCAUGAUCGUACCAAACAGGUGGAAGGCGAUGUCCAUUUGAUCCUCCAUCAUGUCUCUAGCACUGAUCAGCUGGCUGACUUGUUGACGAAGGGGUUGCUGUAGGGUAAUGGAUAACGCUUCUGAUGACACAUCCACAACAAAUAGGAAAGUAAUCUCAAACGCUAGAAGAUUAGAAAGUAAUCUACUCAUAUUAGGAAAGGAAUCCUAAUCCUAAUCUCAUGAGAAAGAUAAUCUUAAUCGUAUUAGAAAUAAGAAGGAACCAUAAUCCUUACCUCACCACAAAAUCUUAGGGUUUAUUCAGUGCAAGUUUAUCUGACAACUUCAGUGAAUUUUAAGGUUUAUUCAGUGCAAGUUUAUCUGACAACUUCAGUGAAUUUUAAGGUUUAUUCAGUGCAAAUUGAAUGAGUAGGAUUUGCUACUUAUAUAGCCGAUUAGCCCGGAAGAAAGAUUUUCUUCCUUUAAAGACCCAUAUAGACAAAGUGAAGCUAAACACCAACUCUUUGCAAUCUUCGACACCCACAUCUACUUUUGGUGGGAACCAUUCCCGUUAGUGGGUUGGUGGGUUCUUAUAUAAUAUAGAUUCUGAGAGGUUAAAUUCAAAUCUUUACAGGUGAAGAAAAGAAACAGGUAGUGCCAAAUAAUACUGGGGUACUAUGCUAGCAAUCUUCUUACCUAGGAGCUUCUCGUUUUACAUUUUCAAUUCUCAAUUUCAUACUGCAAUGUUACUUGAUAAUUCGAGUUGCCUAUUUUUUAGGUCAUCCUUACAAUAAAUCAACCGAAUUAGAAAGAAAGAAAGUCAACGAAUUCAUUUAUUUAUUUCUUCUUCUCUUCUAUGAUCAUCAUUAAGAAAAUAUAUUGAGAAAAUCUAUAUAUAUACAUAUACAUAUAUACAUAUAUAUAUAUAUAUAUAUAUAUAUAUAUUCUUGCUCCUUGUAUUCCAAGCAUUAUCUCUCUUGUGAUAGAAAACUUAUGAUUGUAUUUCUUAAUCAAUAAGAUUACAACAGAUGGUUAUAUAUACAACCAAUAAACCUAUGAAAAAUGACAGCUCACCUAACUAAUUUACAGAUCAUGAAAACUAACCAUAUCAGAAAAGUAUCUUCUAAGUUUUAUCUUUUACAAUAUUAGCCUUAAUAUCCCCCAUCAAACUAAACUGAGGGUGUCGAAGAGCAAGUUUAUGUCGGAGAAGAUGAAACCGAGCCUUGGACAGAGGCUUUGUGCAAAUAUCAACAAGUAGAUCCUGUGUGCAGAUGAAAUGGACUGAAAGCUCUUUAGAUAAACCUUUCUCUCGGAUAUAGUGGUAAUCAAGUUCAACAUGCUUGGUCCGAGCAUGAAAGACAAGAUUCUUAGCAAGAUGCAUAGCAAAAAUAUUGUCACACCAGAGCGUAGGAGGAGAGGGAAGUUUCAGACUAACGUCAAUCAAAAGCUUGCAGAUCCAAGUGAGUUCAGCAGUAGAAUUAGUUAGAGAACGAUACUCAGCUUCAGUUGAAGAGCGGGCCACAGUAGGCUGUUUCUUAACACUCCAGCUAAGUAAAGAGUUACCUAGAAAAAUACAGAAACCACCAAUUGAUCGUCGAUCCAGGUGACAGCAGGCCCAAUCAGCAUCAGAAAAGGCAUUGAUGCGAAGAGGUGUGGCAGUUUUAGAAAACCACAGACCAAGCUCAAGAGUACCCUUUAGGUACCGAAGAAUUCUUUUGACAGUUUGAAGAUAUGAUUCCCUUGGUUGAUGCAUGAACUGACACACCAAGUUGACGGCAAAUAAAAGGUCAGGCUGAGACCUAGUGAGGUAUUGCAACCCACCAACAAGAGAUCGAUGUUCUGUAGGAUCAGAUAAUAAGGGAGACUCAUGAUCCAUAGAAAAAGUGUUGAGGGGAGUUGCACAAGGUUUGGCAUCAUCCAUUUUGGAUUUCUGAAGUAGAUCCAAAAUGUAUUUUGUCUGAGAAAUAAAAAUACCAGAGGAUGAUCGUUUUACUUCAAUGCCAAGGAAAUAGUGAAGAGGGCCCAAAUCCUUGAUAGGAAACAAAGCACUGAGCUGAGAAAUUGUAGCUUGACAAGUUUGAGCAUCAGGACCGGUAACAAGGAUAUCAUCAACAUAUACAAGUAUGAAUACCAAGGUAGGAUCCUUUUUAACAAAAAGAGAAUGAUCAUUCUGUGAACCAUGGAAACCAAAAGAGGAAAGAGCAGAAUAGAGUUUCUCAUACCAUGCCCGAGGGGCUUGUUUGAGCCCAUACAAGGAUUUGUGCAGUCCACAAACAUGAGUUGGCUUUGUAAGAUCUUCAAAGCCUGAGGGCUGAACCAUAAACACAGAUUCAGAGAGGUUCCCAUGCAGAAAAGCAUUGUUGACAUCCAAUUGAUUGAGAAACCAAUCGAAUUGAGCUGCCAUAGUAAGAAGUAACCAAAUAGUGACAGGUUUUGCAACUGGAAUGAAGGUCUCUGUAUAAUCUAGACCUUGUUGUUGAUGAAACCCUUUUGCAACAAGUUGGGCUUUGUACCGUGCAAUAGUACCAUAUGGGUUCCUCUUGAUGUGGAAAACCCAUUUGCAACCUACCAAGUUUUGAAAAGGCUGGGAUGGAUCAAGAGACCAAGUCCCAGUGUUGAGCAAGGCAUUGUACUUUUCCUGCAUAGCCUGUCGCUAAUGAGAGUGUUUGGAGGCUUGUAAGUAGGAAUGUGGAAUAUAGUCUAGGGAUAGAGAAGAGGGAAGGGGAUGUUUGGUGGCUGUGUAGGCUUUAGGCUUGUGAAUCCUAGAUUUAGAACGGGUUGGCAUAGGGUGAUUAUUAACCGGAGGUGAAUAAGGGUGAGGAACUUGAGGUGGCAGAGAAGGGGAUAAGGGUGGGGAAGGAGGAGGUGCAUGAUUAGGAUUAGAAGAAGAGGAAGAAAGGGAUUGAGACAGAGAUGUGGGAAUAGGAUUGGUAAAGGUUAAAGAUGUGGGAAUGAGAUUGGGACAGGUACUUAGAAGGGGAGAUAGAGAGGGAAAGUUGGGAAUGUGAUGAAAAGGAAAGUGGAGUUCAUCAAAAAGCACAUGACGGGAGAUAUAAAUCCUUCUAGUAACAACAUUGAGACAUUUGUAACCUUUAUGUUGCAAACUGUACCCCAAAAAUACACAAGGCUGACUUUUUGGAUCAAGUUUCGAGUGAACAUAAGGUUUUAACCAAGGAAAGCACUUGCAGCCAAAUAUUUUGAGUGUAUGAUAAUCUGGAGAUUUGUGAAAGAGAGAUUCCCAGGGAGAACACUUUAAGGCAGUGGGAAGCCGAUUAAUCAAAUAUAUAGCUGUAGCAAAGGCAUCAAUCCAAAAUUCAUGGGGAACUUUAGAGGCAGCAAGAAGGGUUCUUGCGGUCUCAACGAUGUGCCUGUGUUUCCUUUCAGCAUAACCAUUCUGUUCUGGGGUGUGGGGACAGGUAAGUUGAUGUAUGAUACCAUGUGUUUUCAAGAAACUGGAGAAUUGAGUACUAGUAAAUUCCCCACCAGAAUCAGAUCGCAGAGUCACAAUCUUAGUGCACAGAAGAUUCUCAACAUAGAUUUGAAUUGAGUAAAAACAAUGAAAGCUUCAGACUUGUAUUUAAGUGGAAAGAACCAGCAAUAUUUGGAGAAAUCAUAAACAAAAAUGAUAUAGUAUUGGAAACCUUGAACAGAACUAACUGGUGAUGGUCCCCAUAUAUCAGUAUGUAAAAGCUCCAAAGGCUUGCUUGAUGAAUAAGAAACAUAAGGAAAUGGUAAUUUUGAACAUUUUCCCAUUGCACAACUGGAACACAAAGACUGAUGGGAACUACCAGUGAAAGAAAUACAAGAAGUUGAAGCAAUCUUAUUCAUUAUUCUAGAUGAAGGAUGGCCUAAUCUUUGAUGCCAUAUAUCCUGAGAGGCCUUGAAUGUUGCUGCAAAAGCAUGUUGAGUACCAGCAGAAUAAAUUGUAGUAGGAAAGGGAUAGAAUCCAUCGCAUACAGGUCCCUUAAAAAGCACAUUCUCCGAAUGAAGGUCCUUCACAAGAAAGUGGAAAGGAUACAGAUGAACUGAGCAUUGAUUAUCAAGAAUGAAUUUGUUGGCAGAAAGCAAAUCUUGCUUUAAUGCAGGAACAUGUAAAACAUUCUUAAGAUUAAAGCAGUGAGUAUUAGUAGAGACACGAGAAGAGCCGAGAUGAAGAAUAGGCAAACCUUUGCCAUCGCCAAUGUAGACCUGUUCAGGACCAGAGUAGGAUUCAGGAUUUUGCAGUUUUGCAUAGGAGUUUGUCAUGUGAGAAGAAGCUCUAGAAUCAAGCAACCAAGUGUGUUAAGAUGGAGAGGUAGUAGCAUAGAAAGCAGAUUGGGAUUGAGCACCAAAAUUAGGGUUGAGGCGCUGAGAACACUCCAUAGCUUCAUGGUCAAAUUGCUUGCAAAUUUGACAAGUCAGUCUUCUGCCAGAGUAAAGGAAUUUGAGUUGUUGUUGAAUCUGAAGCCACAAUUCUGAGAAUAUCGCUGAUUAUUAGGCUUGGUGUAGUGAUUACGUUGAUUGUUACCCCUGAAAUUUCCUCGAUUCUGUGAAUUUCGGAGAUGCGAGCCACGGCCUUGAUUGGAAGAAAAAUUGGAGGAACUCUGAGCAAUGUAAGCCUGAGAAUUAGGAGGAUCAGUAGGUGUAGGCAAAAUACCAGUAGAAGUAUUGAAGGCUUGGAUCGGUGUAGAGGAAAAUUUCUUCCGAUUUUCGAUUUGAAUUUCUUUGCUCAACAAAAGACCGUGUAGUUCAUCAAGAGUUGUAGAAACAACUCGGAAUUGAACAGCAUCACCAAAUGAGUCAAAUUCAGGAGGUAAACCAUGAAGUGUGACAGAGAUUAACUCAUAAUCAUCAACCGGAGCACCAGCGCUGGCCAAAGUGUCAGCAAUUUCUUCAAUCCGUUGAAGAAACAAGGCGGCGGAGGACUCACCUUUGGUAAUGGUGCGAAGCCGAGAUCGGAGCUCAUGAAUGUGAAAGUGCGACACCGUCGCAAGUCUUGAUUAAAGUUUAGACCAGAGCUCGCGAGAAGAAUUGACACCAACAAUAUAAGGAAUCAAUGAAUCAGAAAGAGUCGAAUUUAUCCAAAUUAGGAUAUUCUGAUCAUUUUCAUACCAAGAAACAAAAUCAGGAUUCAAGGUAGAAGUGCGAUUUUCAGAGGUAUCAUAGAGAUACUUCGGCGGAGCCACCUGAGAUCCAUCGACAAUGCUGGUGAGAUUAUAGCGCUGGAAGAUCGGAGCAAAUAGCGCACUCCAGGUGAGAUAGUUGGUGGUAGUGAGCUUAAUCAGCACCAUUGAACCAAUAUUCUGGAUGGUAAUGGAAAAAGGUGACGAAGAAACGGCUGGAGAAGGAGGAGAAAGAGAGACAUUAUCAGAGGAAGGAGAUGCAGACGCCGCCAUUGAUGACGAUUAGGGUUACAAUUUGGGGAAGAAAGAGGCGGUGCGAAAGCAGGUUAGGGAAAGGAUCGAGAGAGAGUCGUGAGAUAGAUGGCGAGAGAUACCAUGAUAGAAAACUUAUGAUUGUAUUUCUUAAUCAAUAAGAUUACAACAGAUGGUUAUAUAUACAACCAAUAAACCUAUGAAAAAUGACAGCUCACCUAACUAAUUUACAGCUCAUGAAAACUAGCCAUAUCAGAAAAGUAUCUUCUAAGUUUUAUCUUUUAAAAUAUUAGCCUUAAUAUCUUGUUUAUUGUCUUUUGUUUCUACAAUCUUGGCUUCUGCAUUGCGGUUCAUCAUUUUCGUGUUCUUGAGGAAUGCAACAAGUCCUGCAAGCACAUUAUCGGCAUCUUCACUUUUCAUGAACUGCAAUCUCUACAGGAUCAGUCACCUCCAGCUACUUUAUCAAUUCUUCAAUUUCGUCGGAGGGAUAGUGAGUUCUUGUUCCAAGGUAGUUAGAAGCAAGGAUCUUGAAUCCACUUGGUGUGCAGUACGACAUGUUAAUGUGCAUAUUCAUCCGCCCUGGUCUCAACAAUGCAGGAUCUAGUUUGUCCAUGAUUAUCCUCUCAUCUCCGCAGCUUGACAACAGCCCAUCGAUGAAAUUAAGGAACCCCGAUAGAGUUAACUGUCGAAAACAGACAACUUAUUUAGAACAGAAUCAUAGAUAAAAUUUCUUGUAUAGGUAAAAUCACUUUCAUGAUGAAAGUUUCAUCUUACCUGGCUGUCGUUGUUGCUGACUCCACGUUUUCGGUCACUAAUUCCAGUGCUGCAAUCAAUAUCUUUGAUUACGAGUAUCGGUUGAUUUGCAGUGGAGACUAACGGCUUCCUGUGCUCGGAGUUGCUACUCAUUUGCAAAAGCUCAAGUCAUCAACGUCAAGCUGGACUUUCUUGUACCGGGAGGACCAUACAACAAGUAUCCACUUUUCCAUGCCUUGCCUACUCUCCCGUAAAACUCCUUUCGCUUCACGAACCUCACCAAGUCAUCGAUCAACUCUUCCUUAAGCUUGGGAUCCAUUGCCAAUGUGUCAAAAGUAGACGGAUGAUGAAGGACGACAGAGCCCCAUGGACCUGCAUUGUAUUCCAGUAAAGUUUCCGAGAGCAUGAAGCCUCACCGCCUUGUUUUCAUGUUGUAGGGCUUUUGAUCUCUCUACUACAUACGUCAGGUAAGCGUUCAGCACCUUUUCUCUGUAUCUUUUAUGGAAACUGACCUGAAUUGAUUUGUUCUCAGACACUUCUAGUGAGGUGGAUUUCAGCUCGUAGUCAAAUUCCAAUCUUCGCGUUUCAGUACAACAGAAAUUCCAUACCAACUUGAUUCCUUCGAAUCCAUCAAUGAGCUUUUCGCCUUUGUUGAUGGUGAUGGAUAAAUUGUUCUGUUGCGCAGACUUGGAGACCUUGAGCUGUUCGACAGAAGGGGUGAUCCUUGUGCUCAAGUAGGUUUCGGAAGCCUGGUAAAUUUCAUUGACAGAGAUGUCGCUGAACUCAUCAAUGAUGAGAGUCGCUUGAGAAUUAGGAAGAGGUUUCCGAAUAGGCCUCUGAGUGUGGCCAUGAUUCAGUCGUGGAGUUUUCGGGGUAUGAACUGGUUGGCUCUGGUCUGGACCUCAUUGAUCACUGUCCUGGCCAGCAUUGCUCCUGCAGCAAAAGUUUUGUAGCUUGAUAUGACUGAUGUCGUUGAAGGCAUGUUUGCUAGAGAAAACAUCUUUCAAUGUAUGAGUUUUUAUAUUUGCUGGUUUGUUGAGUUGAGUUCGAAAUAUUGGUGAAGGGAUUUCAUGGAAAAUGUGGAAAAAGCAGCUUCCACAUGAAGCUGUUUGACUAAAAUUUGUUCAAGCCAAUUCAAUCUUCCAGAUGAGAGAAACAAGCUUCUCAAGCAAUUUUCACUAUAAAAAAAGACCAAGAAAAAAAGCCGAGUCGACUUUGGUGGACAAUCUCAUAAUCUGUUAUCUAUAACAAUAAUAUUAUUUAGACGUAUAGAACUGACACUCUGUAAAUACAAGUGGAUUGCAUCAUUGUAUGUUUAUUUUUUAGAGUGUGUAUGUACAUUACUCUAUCUAUAAUUUCAUUUUAAAAUUUUGGUUCGACAUUUUGAAAUAACUUAUACGUGAAUUGAUGAGAGAUAGAGAUAAUGGAAUCAUUUUACAGUAAAAUCUCUCCCUAGUAUGCCGUUGUGGCAUUUUUGACUUAUCAAGCAUCAUUACGUGUUUUUAAAUUUAUGAGAUGACAUUACGUAAUUGAUCUCAGUUACUGCAAAAUUGGCGUCCCCGUUUUCAUGGGAGGAGGAGGUUAGAUAGUUGUUUGAAAACUGUUGCAACUUCAAACUCUCUUAGAGAUUGUAUCCCAUUUCAAAGUGUCAGUACUAACAUAUUCUUUUGGUUGCUCUUCUUACUUAAUGUUAAUUUAUGUAUGGUGUUUUUUUUAAGUCGAAUUAUAUAUAUGAAGCCUUUACAGCUACAAUUGAUGUAUAUAUUAAAGAGACUUAAAAGCCUUCUCCGUGUGAAUCCAAUAAAACAACUAAAAACAACCACAAGUUGUAGCUGGCCAUACGCAUCGCCUAAAGAAACACCAACGCUAAGUAGUCUUACGAGUGUGUUUGUCGUUAGAUUUGAUUUUCACAAUUGUUAGAUAUUUACUUUUAAUCUCAACUAACAAUUUUUCAAAUCACUUGAUGCUACGUAGCAUUAAGAACAAUUCCACUUAGCGAACAAUUUGCAUUUUACAUGCACCCACAUAUGAAAAUUUCCCCAUCAACUUUCAUGUCAUUUAGUUACAAAAUUUUAUUUAUAAAUUUAAUUUCCCUUGCAUAAACUACCAAGUACAAGGCCAGCUGAUAUUUGAUAAAUUUCCCCAACAAUUCUCAUUAUCUUCUCAGAUACAAAAGCAGGCCAGCUGAUAUUUGACAAAUUUCCCCAACUCCAAAUUCUCAUUAUCUUCUCGGAUACAAAAGCAAUUUAUAUGACACUAGUAGAGUAACGUGUCUCUCUCUCUCUCUCUCUCUCUCACGCUUGGACUGGUUGCCUCCCUCUCAAAUUUUCAACCAGAAAGCGAGAGAAGGUUGUAAAUUCAAGUUCUGUGUCAACUGGUGAGAUCACAGAUGGAUUUCUUGAGUUAUUGCUUGAUAAUCCCAUGUCUUUUUUCUAUCUGGUAUUUCUCAGUUCAAGCUCUCAGAUCCAAUCGCAAAAGGCUUCUUCCACCGGGACCAAAGCCAUUUCCCAUCAUUGGCAAUCUCUUGGAGCUCGGCAACAAACCCCAUCUCUCUCUCACUAACCUUUCACAACGGCCCCAUUAUUUCUUUGCAACUCGGACAAAUAACCACGGUUGUAGUUUCUUCAUCAACCGUGGCAAAAGAGGUACUCUGAACCCACGACCAGUUCUUGUGCAACCGAACCAUCCCCAACGCAAUCCAAGCUUGCGACCUCCGCCAGGACAGCUUGCCCUGGAUACCCGCAUCAGACAGAUGGAGAAACCUCCGUAAAAUAUGCAACAACCAAUUGUUUGCAACGAAAGUCCUCAACGCCAACCAAGCCAACCGCCACCUGAAAGUGCAGGAGCUCAUUGCCGAUGUCAAUGAAAGCGUUGUGAAAGGUAAGGCUGUAGAAAUUGGGAGGGCUGCUUUUAAGACGACCCUUGUCACAUCCCGGCCCGGGGCGGACUACUUUUCGGGCCCGCUCCAUCACCGUAGCACGAUAUUGUCCGUUUUGGGUCCCGAUCACGCCCUUACGGUUUUGUUUCUGGGAACUCACGAGCAACUUCCCAGUGGAUCACCCAUCAUGGGAGUGCUCUGGCCACCUUCUCGCUUAACUUUGGAGUUCCGACGGAACCCGAAACCAGUGAGCUCCCAAAAGGUCUCGUGCUAGGUAAGGAUGUGAAUAUACAUUUAAGGAUCACUCCCCUAGGCGAUGUGGGAUGUCACAAUCCACCCCCCUUAGGGGCUCGACGUCCUCGUCGGCACACUUCCGGCCAGAGAUUGGCUCUGAUACCAUUUGUCACAUUCCGACUCAGGGCGGACUACUUCCUGAGCCCGCUCCACCAUCGUAGCACGAUAUUGUCCGCUUUGGGCCCCGAUCACGCCCUCACGAUUUUGUUUCUGGGAACUUACGAGCAACUUCUCAGUGGGUCACCCAUCAUGGGAGUGCUCUGGCCACCUUCUAGCUUAACUUCGGAGUUCCGACGGAACUCGAAGCCAAUGAGCUCCCAAAAGGCCUCGUGCUAGAUAGGGAUGUGAAUAUACAUUUAAGGAUCACUCCCCUGGACAAUGUGGGAUGUCACAACCCUCAAUCUGCUGUCGCGUACUGUUUUCUCCGUCGAUUUGGCUGACCCGAGCAGUGAGGUGGGAAGAGAGUUCAAGGAGAUUGUGUGGGGUUUGAUGGAAGAGGCAGGGAAACCAAACUUUGGGGACUAUUUUCCUCUGCUUAGGAAACUUGACCCCCAAGGCAUUCGAGGGCGCAUGAUCAAACAUUUUCUAAAGAUUGAUUCGCUUUUUGAUCGAAUGAUUACGCAAAGGUUAGAAUUGAGAAAAUCGAACGAUGAUGUCACAAAUAAUGAUAUGCUGGAUUCUCUCUUGAACAUCGGUGGAGUAAGCAAUGAGGAUAUGGACAAGCUAUUGAUUGAACAUCUGCUUCUGGUCAGUUUUCUACUUUCUAACAACUCAGAUUCGGUAUUUUAGGAUGCGUUUGAUAAACAUUUUGGUUUUUCAGUUAUCAUUCGGUUCAUUAAAAUUUACAAUUCCAUUAUUUAAUCAUUGUAUUGCUGCAAUAUGUUUUUAUAGUCUCUAUUUGUUGCGGGCACGGAUACAAUUUCGGCCACGCUGGAAUGGGCAAUGGCUGAACUACUACGCAACCCGGAAAAACUGUCAAAAACGCAAGAGGAACUAGAUCAAGUUAUUGGCAAAGGAAAACCAGUUGAAGAAUCGGACAUUGCUAGACUCCCUUAAUUACAAGCAAUAAUCAAAGAGACCCUCCGGUUGCAUCCGGCUGCACCAUUACUACUCCCUCCAAAGGCCAAACAAGAUGUGGAAAUUUGCGCGUACAUUGUCCCAAAGGGUGCACAAGUGCUGGUCAAUGCAUGGGCUAUAGGCAGAUACCCCUGCAUUUGGGACAACCCGACCUCAUUUGCACCGGAGAGGUUUUUCAGAUUAGAUGAUCAAAUCGAUGUUUUAGGCAAGAAUUUUGAGCUUAUUCUGUUUGGUGGCGGGAGGAGAAUAUGUCCAGGGCUGCCAUUGGCGAUGCAGAUGCUACACUUGAUUUUGGGUUCACUUAUUAACUCAUUUAAUUGGAAGCUUGAAGAUGGAAUUAUACAAGAGAACAUGAACAUGGAGGAGAAGUUUGGCCUCACCUUACAGAUGGCUCAACCUCUUAUUUGAUAUGGUAAUUGUAUUAACUUUUAAUUUGUAAUUUUUUUAUUUAUGUGGUUGUUUUUGGAUUAAGAGAUGCACCAAUGCUUCUGUAAAAUAACACAAAAUUUGUUGUGGCAAAAAGGGAAUUAGAUUAGAAAGAAAGAAAGUCAACGAGUUAUUCUUUCAACAACAAAAUCCUAAUCCCUUUUGUAGGUGUUGUUGCUAAUUUUUGUCGUUGAACUUGAUAUUUCCUUCAACAUUGGCGCCAACGAGUUAUUCUUUGACUAAAGUUAGAGGUUAUCAAAAAGAUAAAAAGGUUUACUUAAGACCGAAUCUUAUUGGAUUUAUCUAGAGAUAAAAAUAAAAUGUUUAAUUUCUUGAUUUUCUUGUUACUCAAAAGUUCAUAGAGCUCGUUUGAUAACUAUUUUUUUUCUUCUUCUGGGUUUCACGUUUUAUGUUAGUGACAGAAGGAAAUCCAAUUGGUUUGUAUUGCACAUUAAUAAUUUAGAAUUAUGACUUGUAUUCCAAGCAUUAUUUCUCUUAUUCGUUGUCUUCUUUUGUUUCUUCAAUCUUGGCUUCAGCAUUGCAGUUCAUGGUUUUCUUGUCCUUUGAGGAAUGCAACAAGUCCUUAUCGGCAUCUUCCCUUUUCAUGAACUGCAAUCUCUGCAGGAGUCACCUCCAGCUGCUUUAAGAAUUCUUCAAUUUCGUCGAAGAGAUGGUGAGUUUUUGUUCCAAGGUAGUUAGAAGCAAGGAUCUUGAAUCCACUUGGUGUGCAGUAGGGCAUGUGAAUGUGCAUAUCCAUGCACCCUGGUCUCAACAAUGCAGGAUCUUGUUUCUCCUCUCAUAUCCGCAGCUUGACCACAGCCCAUUGAUGAAAUUAAGCAACACCGAUAGAGUUAACUGUCAAAAACAGCAAUCUCGAUUUUGAUCACACUUUGCUCCAUGAAACUCAAAAGCCAAUUUACUCCCUAGAACUCGAUUUUGAUCACACUUUGCUCUCCGAAACUCAAAACUCGUCUUUUUAUUUCUUAAAACUCAAAAUUCGCUCUACAUUGCCUUGUUUUUAGAAUAAGUUCAUCUAUUUAAAAUUCAUAAUUAGUAAUAUGUCAAAUUUUCGUUGAAAUAAAUUAAUAGUAAAAAAGAACAAAACAUCUUCUCUUCAUCAACUACCUCCAUUAAUUGCAUAAGAACAUUUCCCAAAAACAAAACCAAUGGAAUUAAUGAUAAGGUGGCUAGAGAUGGAGAGAGAAUGGAUGAAUGUAUGGACAAAGAUUAGAGAGUGUAGACAAGGGCAGUUAGGAUGAGUUGUUAUCAUUUAAUUGUAAUUUGUAUUGAAUUGUAUUGUAUAGCUGCUACAAGACCCCUAUAUUCUGUAGACCUCUUGGUGUAUAAAGCCUUGUAAAGUUUACCUAAAGUUUAAUGAAAAUAUGAAACUUCACAUGGUAUUGAGCCUCUUAUCCCUUUUUUUUUUCAUGGCUUCCGCAACUUCCUCUCCUACAUCUCCAAUCCCUAAUAUCUCUACACUAGUUUCUGUCAAACUUUCUGAGCCUAAUUACUUACCUUGGGAAAGUCAAGUUAAGCCAUUCUUGAUUGGCCAAAACCUUUGGCGUUUUGUAGAUGGAACCCACCAUUGCCCUCCUCCCUUUAUCACCACCACCACUCAUGCAGCUUCACCAAAUACCUCUGCUGAUUCCGACUCCUCCACAGUGGUGCCUUCUGUGACUACUAGUGUUCCCAACCCCGAUUACCUGGUGUGGUACUAGACUGAUCAAAACUUGUCAGCACGUUGUGUGCUACGCUUACAGAGCCUGUUUUCUCUUUGACUGUCGGGUUGUUUACUUCUCGUGAGAUUUGGGAGCAUCUUCGUCAAAAAAAUUCUCAACAAUCCCUCACCAACUCUACCCAUACUCGGUUUCAGUUGUUGUCUCUUCAGAAAGGUACUAAAACGAUUUCAAAAUAUCUUGGUCUUGCCAACAUUUGGCAAAUCAAUUGGCUUCUAUUGACCAACCUGUUCAGAAUGAUGAUUUGGUGACUUAUGUACUUAAUGGCUUGGGGCCUGAAUAUGAGAUUCUUGUCUUGGUGCUGACCAACUUUCCUCCACUACCGUCAUUCAACGAUUUACGUGCUCAUCUUUUAGUUUAUGAAUCCAAACAUGUUAUGACUCAAGUUGUUUUGGCUUCCUAUGCUUUCUACUCCGCACGUAAUUCUGAUGGUAAUUUCUCUCAGGGACAUGCUGGUUCACCCUCCCGCCAUCAUGGCACUUUAAGUGGCAAUCGGCAUCUUCGUACGUAUGGUGGUGGCCGUUCUACUAUGCAUGGUGGUGUUGGCCGAUAUGGUUAGCGUGCUGCACAACAACAACCUGGCAUCCUUGGACCAGGUCUUGCUACUCGUGGCCCUCAAUGUUGGGCAUGCAAUCAAUUUAGUCAUAUAGUUGUGUUGUGUCCUCAAGCAACUUGUUCUGAUGAUGAUAUCUCUCGAGCUUUCGCUGGCAUGCACAUUACUUCCCCCUCUGAUCCUACAUGGUAUCCAAACAUUGGUGCUACUCACCAUAUGACAAGUGACUCUAGCUCCAUUACUUCGGCUAUGGGGUAUGGUUCUAAUGACAAGGUUGUUAUGGGUAAUGGUGAGACCCUCCCUAUUGCGCACACUGGUAAAAUUUCCUUUAAGUCCAGGUCAUUCAUUUUUUGGUUAUCCCAAGUUUCGCAUGUUCUAGCAAUUGAGAAAAAUUUAUUGUCAGUUACUAAGUUUACACAUGAUAAUCUUGUUAGUCUAACGUUCUUUCCAUUGGGUUUUGUCAUACGUGACUUAAAUACGGGUGUUGUUCUUUUUCAGGGCCCAUGUGAAGAUGGUCUUUAUCCCAUUAAGCUUGGUCUUGCUUCUAAAAAUGGUUAUACUGCCAAACAUGUUUUUGUUUCCAUUUUACGUCACCCUCACUCUGGCAUCGUCGUCUUGGGCAUCCCUCCCAUCAAGUUCUUAGUGUGUUAGCAUCUAGUGAUGUAUUAGGCUCGUCUUUUACUGCCUCCACUAAAGAUUUUUGUAAUCACUGUGCGUUGGCUAAAUCCCAUCACCUAGCAUUUACAUCGUCAGAACACUAUGCUAUAUCUCUUUUUGAAUUAAUACAUUCUGAUGUUUGGAUGUCUCCUAUUGUGUCGGUGUUGAGUUUUUGUUACUAUGUCUUGUUUGCAGAUGAUUACACACGAUACACAUGGAUUUAUCCCAUGUGUAAGAAGUCUGAGUUGCCAGCUAGUGAUGUGGCUCAUGCUCCUUCCUCAGGACCUCACACACAGUCCAAGUCUGGAAUUUUCAAACCCAAAACCAAAGCAUACUUUGCAAGUCGUCAUCCUAUUCCUUCUACAAUGGCUGCCUUUGUUGAAUCCGAUAAGGAGCCCACUUGUUUUACACAGGCCUCAUAGUCUCCUAAAUGGCACCAGGUUAUGUUGGAUGAGUUCAAUGCGUUGCUCAAACAAGGUAGAUGAACUGUAAUUCCUUAUGUUCAUUAUGCUAACACUUUCGGAUGUAAAUGGGUGUUAAAAAAAAACAUCAUUCUGAUAGAUCAAUAGAGCGUUACAAGGUGCGUCUUGUCGUCAAAGGUUUCCAUCAAUAGCCUGGGGUUGAUUACUUAUGAACCUUUAGUUCUGUUGUGAAGCCUACCACGAUUCAAACCGUGCUCAACCUUGUUGUGUCCUUUGGUUGGCCGAUACAUCAACUUGACGUGAAGAACGCAUUUCUCCAUGGUUCACUUAUAGAAGAGGUUUAUAUGACCCAACCACCUGGAUUUGUUGAUCCCAAUCGUCCCAAUUAUGUUUGUAAGCUUCGAAAAGCCAUCUACGGUCUUAAACAAGCUUUGCGAGCUUGGUUUCAACGCCUAAACACCUUUCUCAUUCAUGUAGGCUUUGUUCAAAGUCAGGCCGAUAGUUCGAUGUUUACAUAUCAUCAUGGCUCCACUAUCCUUGUUUUUCUUUUAUAUGUGGAUGACAUCAUUUUAACAGUUAAUUCCUCUCCCUUGAUUCAAUCCUUUAUCUAAACUUUGAGCACUGAGUUUGAACUAAAGGAUCUCGACAAGCUGCACUAUUUCCUUGGCAUAGAGGUAUCUUAUUUAUCCAAUGGCAUUCACUUGUCUCAUAACAAAUAUACUUUGGAGUUAUUACAACGUGGUGACUUAUUAGAGUGUAAACCUUGUUCCACACCUAUAGCAGCCAAGACUCAACUUUUUGCACACACCGGUGCUCCAUUCUCAGAUCCAUCUCUUUAUCGGUAGCUUGUGGGUUCUUUGUAGUAUCUUAUGUUAACUCAGCCGGAUAUUUCCUUUGCUGUACAAAAUGUUUCUCAGUUUAUGGGUCAUCCUACUAAUGCCCACAUGGAGACGAUUAAGCAAAUAUUGCAUUAUCUUCAGGGCAGCUUGAGUAUAGGAUUUCGCUUAACUUUGUCUUCACAACCGUUUCAUCUCAUUGCUUAUUCUGAUGCAGACCGGGCACGAUGCCUUGACACAUAUCGUUCCACCACUGGCUUUUGUAUUUUUCUUGGUGACAAUCUAAUUUUUUGAUGUGCUAAGAAACAAUGGACGGUCUCUUGAUCUAGUGCCGAAAUGGAGUAUCGGGCUCUUGCCUUUGCAUGUGCUGAUUCUAUUUGGAUAAUGGGUCUUUUGCGUGAGCUUCGUGUACCAAUCUUUGAGCCAAUACUGGUGCAUUGUGACAAUUUGAGUGUCAUAUAUAUGGUUGCUAAUCCGGUCUUUCAUGCUCACACAAAACACAUUACUUUGGAUUAUCAUUUCGUCCGGAACGUGUUGCUUCAGGAACUCAUCAUGUUCACUUUCUUCCUUUUGUUUCGCAACUGGCUAAUUUUUUACGAACGGUUUCCCGAAUACGCGUUUUCAGUCCUUAUGUUCCAAACUUGUCUCCUCUCCGGCGUCAAGUUUGCGGGGGAGUGUAGACAAGGGCAGUUAAGAUGAGUUGUUAUAAUUUAAUUGUAAUUUGUAUUUAAUUGUAUUGUAUAGCUACUACAGGACCCCUAUAUUCUAUAGACCUCCUGGUGUAUAAAGCCUUGUAAAGUUUACCUAAAGUUUAAUGAAAAUCUGAAACUUCACACAGAGCAAUGGGAAAAAGAGGGGUCAGAGUCGGAGAGAUGAAACCUAGGAAUAUUUUUUGCUAUUUUUUAAAAUAUAUUAUACAAUGUUUGAAAAUUCAAUUUUCUUUUGAGGUGACACUAUUUGAUUGGAUUUGUGAGUUUUAUACUUGUGCUACAUCAGCCAUAAGUGACACUUAAUUAUGUUAUAUAAGUAAACUUAACGAUUAUUUAACAGAAUAUAUUGAAACAAACCCAAGUGGAGUGAAUAUUGAGUUUCAGGAAAUAAAGUGGCGAUUUUGGAGUUUCAAGAGGCAAAGUGAAAUCGAAAUUGAGUUCCAGAAAACAAAGUGACGACUUUUAAGUUUCAGUGAAUAAAGUGAGAUUAAAUCGAAUUCCAGAAAGCAUAACAUAAGUAAAACUAAACCUUUUUGAAAGGUAUCCUAUUUUUCUUUGGUCAACUUUGUGGGUAAUAGUGUUAGGGAGACUAAAUUUUGUAAUCUAAAUGACAUGAUAGUUAAUGAUUGUAUUAUUACUCAAGUCUUGAUUAACGUACUUAUUUCUUAUUGGUGACACAUCAUUUAGUUUCUAAAUUUAGUCUACCUAGCAUUACUCUUAAAAGAUUUCAAAUCUUAUGCACUGAAAUGGAGCUAUGGCUCUUUGUAGCUUCUCUAGAAACACAACAUUUGCCCACUUACUUAUGCACGUUAACUGUGUUAACUUCGAGAGAUUUUUUAUUAUGACGAGAAUACAAGUGGUACACCACGUGUUUUAAUAGAAGUGAUGAGAAUUUUUUUUUUUAAGUUAUUAACUUUUUAGCACAUAUAUCUCACCAUUUGUAUAGUGACACGUGAUGUACCACCCCGUAUACCGAUUACAUUGAAAAAUCUUUAAUUAACAUCUUUGUUAUCUCCCAAAUUCGAAAAAAAAAAAAUCAAAAACUCAAUCAUCUCUAGCAUUUGUCUUGCCAAGUCCCUUUCUCCCUGACGCCGACGAAGCCGCAGAAUCAGUAUAUGUUUGUCUUAUGAUUUCUUCUGGGAUUUACAAGAGAAGACCUUCUUGGCUGUUGAUGUAAGUCAACCCGACGACAUCUGAGAAUUAUCUCUGACCAAUGUGACCAUCGACCGGAGUCUUGAAGUAUUCAGAUCGGACGUUGGAGUUUACACCGGUUUGGGUUGGGUAGACCUAUUUUUUUUCAACUCAAACGCAAUGCACAAAAUUAAAAAUUAAAAUAAACUAGAAAACUAUUAUUUGCACAGUACUCAAGCUUUGUGUGAAACUUGCAUACAUGACUAGAAAUGAUUUAUUCUUUUAAAUCAAGGUUCAUGCUUUUUGCAGUUUUUUUGUUUUUUUUUGUUUUUGAGUUUGAUUGAUUUGUUGUAAACCAGUAAAUAAUUGACACUUAAUUAUCUACACCCAAUUAUCUACUCCCUUACAUCAGUCAUAAGUGACACUUAAUUAUGUUAUAUAAGCAAGGUACUAAAAAACGCUAGACUUUAGUGAUGAGUAUGGUUACAUGGCAAUAUUACAUAUAUUUGCCAUGUCAGCAAAUCAGUUGGAUUUGGUUGUAAGGUCAGUUGGAUAUAGUUGUAAGAUUUAGUUUAUUGGAUAAGAUUUGAUAAGAUUUAGUGAGAUAUGUUGAGGGGUUGCUUAGUCAUUAAGAAAGUAGUGGUAGUCCUUUAUAUUGGAUUCUCUUGUAAUAACUCUCUCAAUUAACAAAAAUACAAUAGUCGUGAAGUACUUUUCCUCUCUGAGUUUUCUGAGAUUUUCCUUGGCUCUUUAACAUUCCUUCAUUCUCUAAGAUUCUUCAUCAAUGUCAAACUCUGUAUUUCUAGUUAAUAUGGUAUCCAGAGCUGGCGGUCCUCCUGUGGUUCAUAGUUUCUUGGGGCGGUUUUCUCUGAGAGUUUGAUCGAGGUUCUUGAUCGGGGGUUUCUUGGUGCUUCUUGGUUUCUUGCGCAUCUGGGUUUUUUGGAUUUCUAGAGUUCUUUUUGUGAAGCUUUGAUUCUUUGUUUUGUGGCUUAUGAUAUCAGUUGGGGCACGAAGCCAAUUCAAGAUUAUGUAGCAGGCACGAAGCCAUCUGGGUAAUUUCUUGCAAGGUUUGUUGUUUAGUAGGCAAUUUAACUGAUAAUUGUUGAAUUGGCAUUUUGUUUCUUUCAAGAAGUAGUUGUUUGUUUUCCUGAUUUGUGAUAAUCAUGGCAUCUUCUGGAGUUAAAAUUGAGGGUUUGCUUGGAAUGUUGACAAUCAAGUUAACUGAUAAGAAUUUCUCAAAAUGGGUUUUUCAGUUUAAGUCGGUGUUGAAAGGAUAUAAGUUGUUUGAUCAUUUUGAUGGAACUGCAGUGUGUCCUCCUAAAUUUGUGAUUGAUACGACUUCUGGGGUUACUAGUGUUCUCACAGAAGCUUUUCUUGAAUGGGAAUCCAUUGAUUUAGCACUUUUGAGUUUACUGAUUGCUACUUUAUCUGAUGAGUCUAUUGAACAUGUUUUGGGAUGCAAGACUGCACAUGAGGCAUGGUCUAAUCUUCAGGAUAGAUAUGCUUCAAUCUCAAAGGCUAGGGUGAAUACCUUAAAGACAGAAUUUCAAACAAUUCAAAAGGGCGGUGAUUCAAUUGAUCAGUAUUUGUCUAAAUGAGACACAUUAAAGAACAAUUGGUUGCAGCUGGUGAAUUUGUUUCAGACAAUGAUUUUGUGGUGCCUGCUUUGUCUGGUUUACCGAGGGAGUAUUCUACUAUACGAACUGUAAUUCUUACUCGAGAUACUUCUAUUUCUCUAUGAGAAUUCAAAGAGCAAUUAAUGUGUGCAGAGAGAGAGGCUGAUUCUAUGGUUAACAUUUUGACUCAUAAUUUUUCUGGGUUGUAUAUGCAAGGAUCUUCUUCUCAGUCAAGUGAUUCUCAGGGUUCUUCUAGUAACUCUAAUAAUGUUCCUUUCACCACUGGUGGUACUAUUACUCGAGUACCAAAUAAUGCUCCACCUGUGAGUAUGCCAUUUAUAUCUCAGGGUUCUACUGCCAUGCAUACUCAGCCACCAGGUCAUAUUUUUCCACAUGCUCCUUAUUCUAUUGAUGGUUCUCUGUUUCCUCAAGUUCCAUAUUCUCCUACUUCAUACAUGAUGCCUCCAUCUUUGCCUCCUAUAUAUCCUGAUUUUCCCAAUGUCUAUGGUUUUAUUGGCACUGGUAAUCUUCCUAGGCCAUUUCCUAAUUCCAAUAAUGGUUCAAGAUCUUUCUCUGGUUCCAAGCCUAAUGAGGGUUAUAGAGGUUCAAAUUUUGGAAAUGGAAGAGGACAAUUUUCUGGUCCUAAACAAAGUGGAGGUACUUGGCAGUUUUGGUCAGGGAAUACUGACACCAAACUUCAUAUUGUCCCAGAGUGUCAAAUUUGUUCUAAACAUGGUCACACAGCUCCUAAUUGUUGGAAACGAUCUACUAGUCCUAGUUCUAUGGGACAGGUUGUGGCAUGUCAAAUAUGUGGCAAGCGUGGUCAUAGUGCUUUGGAUUGUCAUCGUCGCAAUAACUUUGCCUAUCAAGGCACAGCUCCUGCUCCUUCCUUGACAGCUAUUCAAGCUCAAGCUCCUUCUAAUCUUCUACCUCAAGAUUCCUGGAUAAAGGACACUGGUGCUUCGCACCAUAUAACUGCUGAUUUGAACUCCCUGCAACAAGUCACAUCUUAUGCAAGCACUGAUAAGAUUACCAUUGGAAAUGGUGAAGGUUUGCAAAUCAAAAAUAUUGGUUCUGCACGUUUACAUACUUUACCUCAGUCUUUAAUUCUCAGAACAGUUUUACAUGUUCCCACUAUUGCAGUUAGUCUACUGUCAGUUAAACAAUUAUGUAAGGAUAAUUUUUGUUGGUUUAUAUGUGAUGAUAAUGAUUUCUUUGUGCAGGACAAGGUAACCAAGGUUGUUCUAUAUCAUGGAAGGACCAAUGAGGGUGAGUUGUUUCGGAUUCCAGUGAAGUUGUUAUCAAAGUCUCCAUCUCAAAAGUCAGUGGCUCUUCUUGGACAGAAAAUAAAGUCUGAAGUAUGGCAUCAACGAUGUGGUCAUCCUAGCAAUGAAGUGUUGUCUGUAAUGUUGAAACAAUCCAAUAUAGUUAGUUCUCCUGAUACUCAUCAACAUUUAUGUUCUUGUUGUAUUUCUGGCAAGAUGUCUAGGUUGCCAUUUCAUGAUAGAACAGAGUCUUGUAACUUUUCAUUUCAAAAGGUGCAUACUGAUCUUUGGGGUCCUUCACCUACUACGUCUAUAGAAGGUUACAAAUACUAUGUUAGUUUUGUUGAUGAGUAUACCAGAUUUGUAUGGAUAUUUCCGUUAAUCAAUAAAUCUAAAGUGUUUGAUGUCUUUCAGAAAUUCUACAGUUUUGUUUUCACUCAGUUUAAUAUUGGAAUUAAGUGUUUGCAAACUGAUGGUAGUGGUGAGUAUAUAAGUAGAAGAUUUGAUGAUUUUCUAAAACACAAGGGCAUUGUACAUAUGAUUUCGUGUCCAUACACUCCUUAACAAAAUGGUCUUGCUGAGAGAAAGCAUCGACAUAUUGUGGAAACUGCUAUUACCUUGAUGACUACUGCUUAAUUACCUCAGGAUCUUUGGUAUCAUGCCUGUGCACAUUCUGUUUUUUUUUAUUAAUAGAAUGCCUUGCAAGGUUUUAGGCAUGCAAUCCCCAUAUCAAAGACUAUAUGGUGUUUCUCCUUAAUUGCAAGGUCUUAAAGUCUUUGGUACUGCUGUCUAUCAUAUUAGACCUUACACUGUAAAUUGCAAACUUGCAAAAGGAGUAAUUCUUUCCAAACAUUUAUUAACUAUCGAGGGGGAUUGUUGUAUCUUCCCAAUAAUUCUCAGAUAAUUAGUUUUAAUCCAAAUUCAUUACCUGCUAAUGUGACAUUGCCCCACAAUUUAUUUCCAGGAUGCCUCAAGGAUGUAUGUUUGUUUUAUCUCUAUGAAUUUGUUGAGGGGCAAUGUAGUAUUCUUGCCUACUAAAUUCUACGAUGAAUAUCUUAUUUGCAAUUAAGGGAAAACACUAAGUCAUUGUCAUCUUCCUUGUGGAAUUCCAUCCCUUAAAACAUGGUUUGCCUUAACAUUCUUCCUGCAACUGUACUGGAGGAUAAUUCUUCAAUCCUAAUCUUCUAUCUGCCUAAUAACUACUUUGGUUUAACACUCCUCCCUCCAAAUGCCUUAAUCCAGGUGUUAAAUUCAAACUGGUGACAAAUUUUCAAUUUCAACGAAGAUAUUGACCAAUUAUCGCACCUAAUUUAGGCACAUUGCAACACAAGAAUGCAAAAACAGGUUUUCAUUGAUUCAACUGGUUUUGAAUUUCAAGAAUUAAUCGCUAUAGAUCUCUUAAUCCAGGAAUUGCAUAUCAUUUAGCAGCUUUGCUAUUAAUCAGGAUUCUUGUAAUAAUUGGGUUUUCAAACAUUUGCUUUUUAAGAAGAAAUUUGAAUAAGCAUUAAAUCAUUAGGAUCAAGCAAUAAAAAUGUUAAGGUUUCUUUCACAGAAUAAUUUUGAUCAUUAAGAGUCAAUUGGAAGUGUUACAAAUCUUGGUUAUCCAUCAACAACAUGUUAAUAUAAUACUUAUCAGUAAUUACUUAAGAUGGUGGAUGUAAAUUGAAAGGAUAUCCGAAGGUCCUAAGAUGGUUCAAUUAAUCCGGCUUUAUUGUCAACAAGAGGAUGGGUUAGGUUAAAUGGUUCUUCAAGGUUUACCAUUUCUAUGAGGUUCCUGAAUUGGAAGAUUGAAGCACACCACUCGAUCAACAGGUUAUCAGUUAUUUAAUUAGUUUCCACGAUUGAAACGUAAUUUCCAUAAUGGAAUUUAAGACUCAUGUAAAGGCAAACAUUAAAAUGCAUUCUUACAUGGCGAUUUAAAGAAGAGGUUUACAUGCAAGCAACCUUCAAGGUUUUUUGUGGAUCUCACACAUCCUGAUUUAUGUGUGCAAACUGGUUAAGUCUCUGUAUGGUUUUAGACAGUUGGGAAUAAUAGGCCUAAGAUGGAAUGCUAGAGAAUUGGUCAAAUUCUUACGCCUUUAUUGUGAUUUUAACGAGUCUAAAUGUGUUAACACCAUUUCACUGUUUUUACUUUUUCAACUCCGUUAGAAGAAGAACUUGCUGUUUUGUCUUGAAUCUCUUAAUAAUCUUAAAUUUCGAUUUGAUUCAAUUGAUAUCAUGGACAAAAUCUAUAUAUUCCAUGAUGUAAUGCCAUUUGAUCAGAAAUCUCUUAGCAUUGGUUUCAAGUACACAGUAUGAGAAGACUAUUUUUAGUUUGCUCUCUUUACCAUUUACUUCUAACUGGACUAGGUGAUCAAUAGUUACCAUAAUUCUUACAAUGGGUCUCUAUGAUUAGUGAAGAAGUUUUGUCUAUAUUGGUAUCGACACUAAAGGUAUUAUACAAUUGUGAGUCACUCCAAAGAACUCUAUUAUGCUUAUUCAACUGAAAGGUACUUCAUGUUUUAGUCCAUUUGGUCUUAUAAAGCUUCAUGAUUUUUAACCUGUUGUAACUAUCAAACCCAUUAUGUUAUUGGCUUUAAAAGAAUACAUUUGGGCUUGCUCCUAAUACUGCUCCAUUAGUGGCAAAUUAGGAGAUUGCAAAGGACAAAGAUCUUUUAGCUGAUUGGUAUUUGUUGAACAAAGAUAUAUUGUAAACUAUAGCACAAUGACUCAGUCUCUAUAUAUUUUUGCUGCAUUAAUAUGUCAACAGAUACUAUGAUCGUCAUAUGGUUCUUGAGAAAGGUUAUGAAGAAAGAUCAUUGCAAUUAGGUACUUACUUAUUCUUCCUAAUUUAAAACUAUUCCACAUUUCUCUAUGGAUUAGGGCACUCCACUCUAAUACUAUAGUUUAGGCAUUAAUUUUGUGAGUAUUAAUGGGCAAGAAUCAUUCUGGAUAUGAAAAACAUGCCUGCAAUGUUUAGGAUUGCCCAUUUAUAGGCAGUUAUGGAUAAUGGUCUCUGAUUGUAGUCAUGUGAUUUAACAUUGUGCUCAAAGUCUUAAGAACAAUAGUGAGCCACCAUUUGGUUUACAAUUGUGAAUAAAAAGCUUCGAUAGAAAGCCUUAUCAUCUAAGUCCUACGUUUCCAUACGGAUUAAAGCAUUUGGACUAUGAAAUUUUCUUUAAUUGAAAAAGUACCGAAGAAGAGGGGGAUUGAUUAUAUGGUUAAAUCAUUUGAAAUAUUAGAUGAAAGUUUACCAUGGCUCAGCAUUAGCCAUUUGGUUUGUAAGGUCAGUAAGGGAAGUUGGAUUUGUAAAAUACACAUAAAGAACAGGCCUGGUUAAGUUUGAGAAAUUUAAUUUUAUAUGGAUAAGAUUAUUAGAUUUUGAUUUCAUUGUAUUUUUACAGAUUUCCAGAAAUAUCUCUGUUAAGUCAAUUCCGUAAUAAAACAAGUCACAGAUCCUGCUUUGGCAAAGAUUUAGCUUAGAAGUCAAUAUAAGAUGAAGUAGCUUGGCAAAUUAAACAUAAUUUCAGUGAUAAAAUCCUUGUAUAAUUGGGAUUCUUAAUAAACAAGUAAAAUAAGUCUCUAACAUUAUAAAAAGUAAAAAAAUAACAAUAGUCGUGAAGUACUUUUCCUCUCUAAGUUUCAUUUCUAAGAGAUUUUUAUAGUGUGCUCUGCUUAAAACUUCCUUCAACAAAAUUCUCUAAGAUUCUUCAUCAAUGUCAAACUUUUUCUCUAUUUCACCUAGUUAAUAGUUAGUCCGUUUAGCUAGGAGGAUUUAGGUAAAUUUAUUGUAUAUCUUGUAACUAAGUGCGUAUUGACACUUACAAAAAAUUAUACUUGUAUAAAAUCCACGGAUAAGAUUAUAAAAAAAAAUAAAAUGCAAAAAGAGUACAACUUCCAAAAUUUCAAAAACAAUUAAGAUAUGUCAAUAACCAAGAGGAGUAUUUCUUGAAGACACAUGUCAAACAAGUUUCACAGAUUUUUUAAACCUUAGACACACAUAUAGACAUUUAGAACUUAUAUUUAUUUUUUAAUUUUUAAAAUAAAAUAAAAACCGCCUAGCCUGCCUAGGCGGCCGCCUAUAGCCCAUCCGAUUUGCAAGAAAAUGCCUCGGCUCACCACCGCCUAGGCCCUUUUUUAGAACAUUGUAUAUAAGUAAACUAACGGUAUUUAACGUUAAAUAUCGAAAAAACCAAGUGUUUGAAUUUUCAGGAAAUUAAAGUGGUGAUUGGAAGUUUCAAGAGGCAAAAUGGAAUCAAAAGUGAUGAAAAAAGUGACAAAAGACACUUUUGAAUUUCAAGCAGAAAAAACCCUGGGAUAGAAAUCGAGUUCCAGGGAGAAAGUGUGACUUUCGAGUUUCAUUCAAAAAUUAAAUAAUUAAUUAAAUGAGAUUCAACCAAAUGAAAACAUAAAUGACAAACAAAUUAUGAUAUUUUUCUUUGGUCAACUUUUAACAGUAAAACUUUUGUGACAUCAAAAUUUGUAAAAUAGACGAGAGUUAAAUUUAUUAUGACUCAAGUGUUAAUUAUUUACUCUCUGGUUUAAACAAACCUUAUUUCAUAAAGCUAACUACCACAUUUGCUUUAUCUCUGCCAAAUGUGAAUUUUUGUUCUUAGAAAAUUUAACUAUAGAGAAAUGUUUUAUUGUGACGAGAAUACAAGUGCUACACCACUUGUUUUAAUAAAAGUGGUGAGAAUAUUUUUUUUUUAAGUUAUUAACUUUUUAGCACACAUAUCCCACAAUUUGUUUAAUGACACGGGAUGGUACACCGGUCAUAUUGAAAAAUCUCUCAUUUAACUACUUUGUUAUCUCCCAAAUUCGAAAAAAAAAAUCAAUAAAUCAAUCAUCUCUAGCAUUUGUCUAGCCAACUCCCCUUCUCGCUGACGCCGACGAAGCCGCAGAAUUAGUAUAUGUCUUAUGAUUUCUUCUGGGAUUUACAAGAGAAGACCUUAUUGGCUGUUGAUGUAAGUCAACCCGACGACAUCUGAGAUUUAUCUCUGACCAAUGUGACCAUCGACGACCGGAGUCUUGAAGUAUUCAGAUCGGACGUUGGAGUUUACUCCGGUUUGGGUUGGGUAGACCUAUUUUUUUCAACUCAAACGCAAUGCACAAAAUUAAAAAUUAAAAUAAACUAGAAAACUAUUAUUUGCGCAGUACUCAAGCUUUGUGUGAAACUUGCAUACAUGACUAGAAAUGAUUUAUUCUUUUGAAUCAAGGUUCAUGCUUUUUGCAUUUUUUUUGUUUAUUUUGUUUUUGAGUUUGAUUGAUUUGUUGUAAACCAGUAAAUAAUUGAUUUUGUCCAAUUUUUCUACUUACGUAGAUUUUUUGUGUCCUUUGGUUUGUCUUGAAUCUGGGAUGGAAUACGCCGGCAGCCAAGUUGCUGCUCCAAUUUACUUUCACCAGACGCUUUCGGGCCGUGGGGACGAAGCGCGAUUUCCCUUACAAGGGCCCAAUUAUCUACACCCCAACUCGCAGCAGUCGCAUGGCUUUUUCCUUGGUUCUUUUUUCAAACUUAAGAGACAACAGAGGAGUUAAUACGGUUAAGGUGUGCAGGUUGAUGGCCAAGAGUCUCGUUGUUAAGGCUGGUUUGGUAUUGCUGUGCUUUGAAAAAAAAGUUGUUGUAAGAAUAAGCGGCUGUGCUGUGAGAAGGCUGUGAAAAAAAUCAGCAAAGUGUUUAGUAAACUUUUUUGUAAAAGUGCUUUUGGAAAAAAAAAAAAAAAAGCAGUCUGAUAGUGAGUCUUUUCAUUAAAAGAGCACUCUAGCUCCGUGUGCUUUGAAAAAAAGUCAGUUUUCCAAAGCUGCAAAUAGCAGCUUCAACUUUUUCCUUUGAUUUCAGCUUAUUCUCACAGCAGCUUCCAAAAUAAGCCUUUUUUUUUUCAUUUUACCAAACACCUAAAACCCUCACAGCUUUUUUCAUGGAUAUUUUUUUUUUAAGCAUCUCACUUCCAAACCACACUUAGAGUGAUCGCAGAAGCCAGAGUCUUUUUCCGUACAGAAGAUUUGACAACCCCCAACCCUACCCCAAUUAACGCACUGCACGUACAUAAACAAAGCAGAAGGGACCACGUGCCAAGAUAAAAAAUAAGCACAAGGGCUGCUGACAUUUGAUAUGAGCAUUGAUUACAGCAACACGUUUCUCUCUACUAGCUGGCUCCCUCUCAAAAUUUCAACUACAAAGAGAGAAGGUUGUAGAUUCAAGUUGUGUGUGUCAACUCACAGAUGGAUUUCUUGAGUUAUUGCUUGAUAAUCCCAUGUCUUCUCUCUCUCUUGUAUUUCUCAGUUCAAGCUUUCAGAUCCGAUCCCAAAAGGCUUCUGCUUCCACCUGGACCAAAGCCAUUUCCCAUCAUUGGCAAUCUCUUGGAGCUCGGCAACAAACCCCAUCUCUCUCUCACUAACCUUUCACAACGAUACGGCCCCAUUAUUUCAUUGCAACUUGGACAAGUAACCACGGUCGUAGUUUCUUCAUCAACC